RNAcentral lists this ribosomal RNA (347 nucleotides) under Salmonella enterica subsp. enterica serovar Braenderup. Its description in RNAcentral is "partial 23S ribosomal RNA". It matches the Rfam family "Bacterial large subunit ribosomal RNA", at positions 1410 to 1757 of the family's 2925-position model. Lineage: Bacteria; Pseudomonadati; Pseudomonadota; Gammaproteobacteria; Enterobacterales; Enterobacteriaceae. The record is from RNAcentral.
CGUAGUCGAUGGGAAACGGGUUAAUAUUCCCGUACUUGGUGUUACUGCGAAGGGGGGACGGAGAAGGCUAUGUUGGCCGGGCGACGGUUGUCCCGGUUUAAGCGUGUAGGUGUGUGUUCCAGGUAAAUCCGGUUCACUUUAACACUGAGGCGUGACGACGAGGCACUACGGUGCUGAAGCAACAAAUGCCCUGCUUCCAGGAAAAGCCUCUAAGCAUCAGGUAACAUCAAAUCGUACCCCAAACCGACACAGGUGGUCAGGUAGAGAAUACCAAGGCGCUUGAGAGAACUCGGGUGAAGGAACUAGGCAAAAUGGUGCCGUAACUUCGGGAGAAGGCACGCUGACAC